CGGUCUCUCCCUCUGCUAACAGCUACAACGAGACCCUCAGCACCCUGCGCUAUGCUGCACAUGCCAGAAAUAUUGUCAACAAGCCCCGGGUUAAUGAGGAUGCCAGUGUUCGGCUGAUCAGGGAGCUGAGGGAGGAGAUUGACAGGCUGAAGAGCAUGCUGCUCAGCUUUGAAAUGCAACGUAAUCCCAGUCCAUCCCUGAGCGAUGAGAGGGAUGGAAAUCUCUCUGACAUCGUGCUACAGAACGAACUGAAGGUAACACAGGGUGGACAUGCAUGGUUUCAUCCACUGACAGAUACAGUCGUCCUUGACGCAUCAUCG
Notothenia coriiceps (black rockcod) is the source of this 320-nucleotide long non-coding RNA. RefSeq lists it as uncharacterized. The record is from RefSeq and is a predicted model, not a curated record. The transcript has 3 exons. Lineage: Eukaryota; Metazoa; Chordata; Actinopteri; Perciformes; Nototheniidae.